CCUACGGGAGGCAGCAGUGGGGAAUAUUGCACAAUGGGGGAAACCCUGAUGCAGCGACGCCGCGUGAGUGAAGAAGUAUCUCGGUACGUAAAGCUCUAUCAGCAGGGAAGAAAAUGACGGUACCUGACUAAGAAGCCCCGGCUAACUACGUGCCAGCAGCCGCGGUAAUACGUAGGGGGCAAGCGUUAUCCGGCUGUACUGGGUGUAAAGGGAGCGUAGACGGCAGAACAAGUCUGGAGUGAAAUCCCGGGGCUUAACCCCGGCACUGCUGUGGAAACUGUGCGGCUGGAGUGCAGGAGGGGUAAGCGGAAUUCCUAGGGUAGCGGUGAAAUGCGUAGAUAUUAGGAGGAACACCGGUGGCGAAGGCGGCUUACUGGACUGUAACUGACGUUGAGGCUCGAAAGCGUGGGGAGCAAACAGGAUUAGAUACCCUUGUAGUC
Molecule: ribosomal RNA, 440 nt
Filed under: uncultured bacterium
Lineage: Bacteria
Description: partial 16S ribosomal RNA
Rfam family: Bacterial small subunit ribosomal RNA
Source: RNAcentral